CCUCACGUCCACUCAAUUCAAGAGUAUCCUCUACUCUAAACCAACUCAGUUCCACUAUUAUCACUCUGGAGUGGGACCUUCCCUCCUCCACUGGUGGUGUGUCUGUCAACUAUGUCCUCAUCAUCUCCCCAACACCUCUCUCCGUGUCAUCAGUCACCGUGGAGACCACCUCAGCACAGAUAACUGUUUCCUACAACAUUCCCUACAAUGUGACCAUCAGAGCUGUCAACUGUGUUGGAAUGAGUCAAGAGAGUUUAAUUGACGAUCUGGGUAAGCCAUUUCAUGGUCAUAUACAAAAAUAACACACAACACACCCUUACCCUUCUCACGGCUUGUGCUAGUGUGAGUCUAUACAUCCUCCCCUCAUUUUGAGGGCCAGUGAACCACACACACAAUCCCAAUUCUGAUACAUCAUCAAUCAGAGGAGCUGAGAAAAUGGGGAGAGGGUGAACAACUUCAACAUCCAGUCACUGAUAAUUUAUUAUUACUCUGGACUGGGACCACCUCCUUCCUGAAGGUCUGUUAAACAGCCAACUAUAAUUAUGUACAUAAUUAUGUCCUCAUCUCCCUAACACCUCUCUCUAAGUCACCAGUCACCGUGGAGACCAUCUCGGCACAGAUCACUAUCUCCUACAACACUCCCUACAAUGUGACCAUCAGAGCUGAGAGCUACAUGUACUAUAAUGUUGAAUAGAAGUCAAAUUUUGAAUCUGAGUAAGCCAGUAUAAUUAUCAUUUUCCUCUUUACUGCCGGCUGCUGUGUGUCCCACACCAUAAUUAUGACCAUCACCAACAUACCUCCUGUCACGAUUCAUGGAUCCAUGCUCAUCCUAAUUCAGUCACUUGCAAUGGAGACACGGGAAUGAAAAACCUCAGCAUUCAGCAGUAUAGCGGGUGGUCUCCUUAACCGUGACUGGGACUUUUGAUUCACUGCCACAUAUGAUAAUCUAUUAUUCAGCUCUAGGUAGCAGGGCUGCUGCCUUUAGACCUAGCUAUAUAGUUGGCUGCUGGAGGUGUUGUGUUGGCGUUCUGUUUGUGGGGGUACUGAUUGUUGUAGAGUUCAUAGUUGUUUGUUAAUCACCAAGAACUUAAAAAGUGGAGGUUAUGGAAGGAUGCAUGUUUACGAUUGUACAAAUCAUUCAAUUUCAAUUUUGUUUAUGACAAGUGAGACAAUGGAGAUUUUGUAAUGACUAACUUGCUCUGGAGGCCACAUUGAGUUGCAGUCGAAUCAGGCUUAUAUUUUGAGAAAUCAAAUAUGCUACUUGAUCUUGAUUGCGAACUGUUUGUUUACUUAUCAAUAAUGGUCAUGAUUGCAUUCAUCUUUAUUGUCAACAGAACAGUAUCCUUUAUGAUCACAACAGCUGGCUAAACAAACACUAAGUAACAGCCCACAGCUAUUUACUGAAGUCAGCAAUUUAGCAAAUGUUUCAUUAACGAUCUUUACUUUUUGAAAACUUCUUCAGGACAACUCUUAUAGAUAUAGCAGAUAUAGCACAAGGUUAAUAUUAGAUCUCAAUUAAACUUUUUUCGUAUACCCACACUGACAAUAAACCCACUGUCUCAUGACUGGAGAAGUAUGAUCUAAUCUAGGCAAUAGGUAAAGAUGUCACAUUUUGCUUUUGCACUUUAUUAAAUUUGCCCUGUUAAAUAAUGGUGAACUUGUUGGUGAUCAAGCAUCUUCUGUUAGCAGUGAUGAUUGGCUAUCAGAUAGGAGAGGCCUCAUUAGUGUCCAACACCAGUGUGGCGUGUCCUGGAGAGGCAGUUCUGUUCACAUGCUCUAAGCCAGCCGCUGUAUUGAGAUGGCAAGUGGAUCCUCCAGCGAAGUCUGGGUUGAUGUCAGUUCAAAGUACACUCUUUAUUGGUUCUCAAGUUGGUCGAAGGGACACAUUUGGAUCUGGAGUGAUCAUGUUUUGAGGCUGUUCUUGUAAGCAAUGAUGGUGGAACUCUGACGUCCACCCUAAUCAACCUCAGUGAAGUGUCUGUACUGGAAGGAACCAAUAUUACCUGUACUACUACCACUUCAAAUGGUAUUACAGUUGCAAUACAGCAGACAACUGUCUCUGUUGCUGGUAAUUCAACCUCUCCAUUAAACCCAAGAAUAUCCUCCACUCAAAACCAGCUCAGCUCCUCUCUUGUUAUUCUGGACUGGGACUCCCCCUCCUCUACUGGUGGUGUGUCUGUCAGGUAUAUCCUCGUCAUUUCCCCAACACCUCUCUCCAGGUCACCAGUCACCGUGGAGACCACCUCGGCACAGUUCAAUAUCUCUUACAACAUUCCCUACAACGUGACCAUCAGAGCAGUUAACUGUGUUGGCAGUAGCCGUGACAACAUGAUGAUGAUCCCUUCUAUUGUUACCUGUCCCUCCAACCCAUCACCUGCGAAUAGAGUGACCAUCAAUGGUGCUCCACCACUGCCUCCAGUAGGAUCAAUCCUGAG
Halichondria panicea is the source of this 2435-nucleotide long non-coding RNA. RefSeq lists it as uncharacterized. NCBI's taxonomy places the organism in Eukaryota, Metazoa, Porifera, Demospongiae, Suberitida, Halichondriidae. The record is from RefSeq and is a predicted model, not a curated record. The transcript is spliced from 4 exons.